GAUUAUUACAACAUUUUACCUGGCAGAUGCCACCAUGUUGAUUGAUGUGAAAUCUCCCACCCUUCAUAUCAGCCACCAAAACCUACCUCUGUGAAGUUCUCUUGAAUGAGGGCCUUCUACGCACCCUUUUCCCCACAACCACUUACCGACAUGGGAACACGGUCAUAAUAUCCAGCAAUUUGCAAUACUACUGGAUGCUGUUGUACCUGAAUGGUCUCAGUAUAUGAGAAAAGCAAGGCCUACACAAGUAAGCAUCUUUAAUAAAUCCAUUUAUAUAGCUGGGGAAAGUGGGCAAGCUUUUGGGCU
This 306-nucleotide long non-coding RNA is filed under the name Apteryx rowi (Okarito brown kiwi). RNAcentral describes it as "lncRNA (ENSARWG00000006552.1)". Lineage: Eukaryota; Metazoa; Chordata; Aves; Apterygiformes; Apterygidae. The record is from RNAcentral.